UACAGAGGUCCCGAGCGUUGUUCGGAUUCACUGGGCGUAAAGGGUGCGUAGGUGGCAUGUUAAGUUUGAUGUGAAAGCUCAGGGCUCAACCCUGAAAUGGCAUUGAAUACUAGCGUGCUGGAGGUUUGGAGGGGGGACUGGAAUUCUCGGUGUAGCAGUGAAAUGCGUAGAUAUCGAGAGGAACACCAGUGGCGAAGGCGAGUCCCUGGACAACACCUGACACUGAGGCACGAAAGCGUGGGGAGCGAUCCGG
This 253-nucleotide ribosomal RNA is filed under the name uncultured bacterium. RNAcentral's name for it is "partial 16S ribosomal RNA". It matches the Rfam family "Bacterial small subunit ribosomal RNA", at positions 524 to 776 of the family's 1533-position model. The record is from RNAcentral.